RNAcentral lists this long non-coding RNA (3287 nucleotides) under Cucumis sativus (cucumber). RNAcentral's name for it is "long non-coding RNA (CSAT_LNC001744)". Lineage: Eukaryota; Viridiplantae; Streptophyta; Magnoliopsida; Cucurbitales; Cucurbitaceae. The record is from RNAcentral.
AUUUUCGGUAUGGUAAAGCCUUGGCCAUUUUUGGACCGUUUUUGGCGCAAACGUUGUGCACCCCGAACGAGCCCCACCCGACCCCUAGGCCCUGGGCUUUUUUUCUGUGUCAUACUGGGUGCAAUAUAGAUGGGUUCCACACCUAUCCGCGGCUAUCAUCGGCCUAAAUAGGUUGCACAAGAUCAAAGAAACAAAACUAGUCCAUGGGAAGAAAAGCAUUGGGACGAAAAUAAAAACUGAGUCCAGGCAUCUUCGAGCGGUUCUUGUGGGAAAAAACCUUGAUAUUACUUAGAGUGAGGCCUCCUAGUAGUUAUCUGGGAAUUUUCGGGACGUUUCUCACAUGGUUAAAAAUCGGCAGAUUUUCGGUAUGGUAAAGCCUUGGCCAUUUUUGGACCGUUUUUGGCGCAACCGUUGUGCACCCCGAACGAGCCCCACCCGACCCCUAGGCCCUGGGCUUUUUUUCUGUGUCAUACUGGGUGCAAUAUAGAUGGGUUUCCACACCUAUCCGCGGGCUAUCAUCGGCCUAAAUAGGUUGCACAAGAUCAAAGAAGCACAACUAGUCCAUGGGAAGAAAAGCAUUGGGACGAAAAUAAAAACUGAGUCCGGGCAUCUUCGAGCGGUUCUUGUGGCAAAAAAACCUUGAUAUUACUCAGAGUGAAGCCUCCUAGUAGUUAUCUGUGAAUUUUCGGGACGGUUCUCACAUGGUUAAAAAUCGGCCGAUUUUCGAGUAUAGUAAAGCCUUGGCCAUUUUUGGACCGUUUUUUGCGCAACCGUUGUGCACCCCGAACGAGCCCUAGGCCCUGGGCUUUUUUUAUGUGUCAUACUGGGUGCAAUAUAGAUGGGUUUCCACACCUAUCCGCGGGCUAUCAUCGGCCUAAAUAGGUUGCACAAGAUCGAAGAAGCACAACUAGUCCAUGGGAAGAAAAGCAUUGGGACGAAAAUAAAAACUGAGUCGGGCAUUUUCCGAGCGGUUCUUUGUGGAAAAACCUUGAUAUUACUCAGAGUGAGGCCUCCUAGUAGUUAUCUGUGAAUUUUCGGGACGGUUCUCACAUGGUUAAAAAUCGGCCGAUUUUCGGUAUGGUAAAGCCUUGGCCAUUUUUGGACCGUUUUUUGCGCAACCAUUGUGCACCCAGAACGAGCCCCACCCGACCCCUAGGCCCUGGGCUUUUUUUAUGUGUCAUACUGGGUGCAAUAUAGAUGGGUUUCCACACCUAUCCGCGGGCUAUCAUCGGCCUAAAUAGGUUGCACAAGAUCGAAGAAGCAAAACUAGUCCAUGGGAAGAAAAGCAUUGGGACGAAAAUAAAAACUGAGUCUGGGCAUCUCCGAGCGGUUCUUGUGGGAGAAAACUUGAUAUACUCAGAGUGAGGCCUCCUAGUAGUUAUCUGUGAAUUUUCGGGACGUUUCUCACAUGGUUAAAAAUCGGCCGAUUUUCGGUAUGGUAAAGCCUUGGCCAUUUUUGGACCGUUUUUUGGCGCAACCUUGUGCACCCCGAACGAGCCCCACCCGACCCCUAGGCCUGGGCUUUUUUUAUGUGUCAUACUGGUGCAAUAUAGAUGGGUUUCCACACCUAUCCGCGGGCUAUCAUCGGCCUAAAUAGGUUGCACAAGAUCGAAGAAGCACAACUAGUCCAUGGGAAGAAAAGCAUUGGGACGAAAAUAAAAACUGAGUCCGGGCAUUUUCGAGCGGUUCGUGUGGGAAAAAACCUUGAUAUUACUCAGAGUGAGGCCUCCUAGUAGUUAUAUGUGAAUUUUCGGGACGGUUCUCACAUGGUUAAAAAUCGGCCGAUUUUCGGUAUGGUAAAGCCUUGGCCAUUUUUGGACCGUUUUUUGCGCAACCGUUGUGCACCCCGAACGAGCCCCACCCGACCCCUAGGCCCUGGGCUUUUUUAUGUGUCAUAAUGGGUGCAAUAUAGAUGGGUUUCCACACCUAUCCGCGGGCUAUCAUCGGCCUAAAUAGGUUGCACAAGAUCAAAGAAACAAAACUAGUCCAUGGGAAGAAAAGCAUUGGGACGAAAAUAAAAACUGAGUCUGGGCAUCUCCGAGCGGUUCUUGUGGGAGAAAACUUUAAUAUUACUCAGAGUGAGGCCUCCUAGUAGUUAUCUGUGAAUUUUCGGGACGUUUCUCACAUGGUUAAAAAUCGGCCGAUUUUCGGUAUGGUAAAGCCUUGGCCAUUUUUGACCGUUUUUUUGCGCGAACCGUUGUGCACCCCGAACGAGCCUCACCCGACCCCUAGGCCCUGGGCUUUUUUUAUGUGUCAUACUGGGUGCAAUAUAGAUGGGUUUCCACACCUAUCCGCGGGCUAUCAUCGGCGUUAAAAAUAGGUUGCACAAGAUCAAAGAAACACAACUAGUCCAUGGGAAGAAAAGUAUUGGGACGAAAAUAAAAACUCAGUCUGGGCAUCUCCGAGCGGUUCUUGUGGGAGAAAACUUUAAUAUUGCUCAGAAUGAGGCCUCCUAGUAGUUAUGUGUGAAUUUUCGAGACGUUUCUCACAUGGUUAAAAAUCGGCCGAUUUUCGGUAUGGUAAAGCCUUGGCCAUUUUUGGACCGUUUUUUGGCGCAACCGUUGUGCACCCGAACGAGCCCCACCCGACCCCUAGGCCCUGGGCUUUUUUUCUGGCGUCAUACUGGGUUCAAUAUAGAUGGUUUUCCACACCCAUCCCGCGGCUAUCAUCGCCUAAAUAGGUUGCACAAGAUCAAAGAAACAAAACUAGUCCAUGGGAAGAAAAGCAUUGGGACGAAAAUAAAAACUGAGUCUGGGCAUCUCCGAGCGGUUCUUGUGGGAGAAAACUUUAAUAUUACUCAGAGUGAGGCCUCCUAGUAGUUAUCUGUGAAUUUUCGAGACGUUUCUCACAUGGUUAAAAAUCGGCCGAUUUUCGGUAUGGUAAAGCCUUCGCCAUUUUUGGACCGUUUUCGGCGCAACCAUUGUGCACCACGAACGAGCCCCACCCGACCCCUAGGCCCUGGGCUUUUUUUCUGUGUCAUACAGGGUGCAAUGUAGAUGGGUUUCCACACCUAUCCACCCGCGAUCAUCGGUCUAAAUAGGUUCCACAUGAUCGAAGAAACACAACUAAACCAUUGGAAGAAAAGUAUUGCGACGAAAAUAAAAACAUGAGUCUGGGGCAUCUCCGAGCGGUGUCUAUGGGAAAAAACUCUCAUAUUACUCAAAGGGAGCCCACCUAGUAGUUAUCUGUGAAUUUUUUGGACUUUUUUCGCAUGGUUAAAAAUCGGCCGUUAUGUCGUAGGCUAAAGCAUUGGCCAUUUUUUGACCGUUUUUGGCGCUACCGUUGUG